RNAcentral lists this long non-coding RNA (244 nucleotides) under Mytilus galloprovincialis (Mediterranean mussel). Lineage: Eukaryota; Metazoa; Mollusca; Bivalvia; Mytilida; Mytilidae. The record is from RNAcentral.
UCUGGCAAUGUUUGGUAAAAUUUGGCUAAGUAGUUUCAGAGAAGAAGAUUUUUGAAAAAGUUUACUUAGAUUUACGAAAAAAUGGACUAUAAAGGGCAAUAACUCCUGAAGGGGUCAACUGACCAUAUUGGUUCUCUUGACUAAUUUGUAAAUCUUACUUUGCUGAACAUUUUUGCUAUUUACAGUUUAUCUCUAUCCAUAAUAAUAUUCAAGAUAAUAACCAUUAUAUAUAUGUUUAUUAUCC